UAGGGAAUCUUCCACAAUGGGCGCAAGCCUGAUGGAGCAACACCGCGUGAGUGAAGAAGGGUCUCGGCUCGUAAAGCUCUGUUGUUAAAGAAGAACACGUAUGAGAGUAACUGUUCAUACGUUGACGGUAUUUAACCAGAAAGUCACGGCUAACUACGUGCCAC
This 164-nucleotide ribosomal RNA is filed under the name uncultured bacterium. RNAcentral's name for it is "partial 16S rRNA". It matches the Rfam family "Bacterial small subunit ribosomal RNA", at positions 355 to 511 of the family's 1533-position model. The record is from RNAcentral.